Molecule: small RNA, 3017 nt
Filed under: Cryptococcus neoformans H99
Lineage: Eukaryota; Fungi; Basidiomycota; Tremellomycetes; Tremellales; Cryptococcaceae
Description: Cryptococcus neoformans var. grubii H99 hypothetical RNA
Source: RNAcentral
CGUGUCUCCAGUAUCCGUGUUAAUCACAUGGUAGAUAUUAUGGAAGAAUAUGGAUCCGACAAUCAGGUAGUCACUGAUAUCCGAGGCUUCACAGACGAAUAGGUCAGCAAGGAACUAACAAACAUCGACAAGAGAGUUAACACGACUCACGAGAAGCUUGGAUCCGACAGUAACAAUAAUUCGCAUCCGUCGAACUUGGAUUGGCACUACAAAGGCAUUGAGAUGGAACCCAGAGGAAAGAAGAAGGAAACCAACUUACAUCAAAUCUUGCCAGCUCAAAGGGAAUUGCUGGCCAUGGAACUGGAGUGCCAAAGCUGCAUCGUCGUUACUGUUACAUGGGACCACCAAGUCACCUGUCAUGGUGUCAAAAUAAUAUGUACCAUUCCCCAAAGCAGCAUAUAUGGGGAGAAGCAUCUGUAAAUAUACAACGUCCUUUGAGCACCACUAUUAGCGCACUGCGUCGACAUUAAUCACUUUGUGACUACAACCUACCCAGUAUCAAGGAUAACCUCAAUAUUCUCCAUACUGAUGCUGCCGUUUGAACUUUGCACCAUGUAGCCAUGAGAAACGAAGCCAUCCAUGGUAACACGAUAAAGACCGUCACCGGUGGUAAUUUUGGGCAGAGUAACCUUUUUGUUUUGAUCGGCGUGAGGGCUGGACAAGAGCUCACUCCCUGACUCUGUUCGAGUGAGGUAGAAGCCAACUUCGGGGGUGCUGAUCAUCCCCAAUUGCGACAAAGUAUCCAUGGGUGUUGCUUGAUUGUUGAUGGAAGAUUUCUGCACCUAUGUCAGUAGUUGUCGCUAAGAGGCAAUAUUCGGUAUGCGAACAUUCAUGGCAAGGCCAAAGAUACCACUUUGGUGCGUCAGCUUACUUCUACCUCGCUGAAAAUUCUCGCUGACCUCAUAUAGGUGCCGUCAAAGCCUUGAGAGUCAGACGCAGCCAAAACAUGGAAUUGCUCCAGCUCAUAAGUUCCGAUAAUGAUAUCAAUGUUUACCAGACAUCCUUUCACAGAACCGCUCCCUAUUUCAGGUUAUCUAUCUCACUUUAUUGCCUUUCAAGUGCCAAAACAUACCAUAUCCCUUAUCUUCCUCCUCGCACCCCACGGGGAGAGUUAGACCGCUAUCAACCAUACUUGCUGCUGUGCAAUUCUCACAUUCGCUCGCCGCAAUCCAGAUAUCGGCACUCCUGUAAAGACAUCAGCUUUCUUUCCAUAAAUCACAUUGAUUAAGGAGACGCACCCUGUGUCUACGAGCACAGGGAGGGUAAUACCCCCAUCUCCUAUUGUGACAUCAAUGGUGUAUACAAUCGCAUUGUUCUGGCUCAUAACGCCGGCCAAACUUGCGGAGAAAUCGGAAGGUUGAGCCCAUUCUGAUUGCGCAAAGGUUGUUGACGCGGAAGUCGAGUCGCUUUGACUUGCUGCUCCAGAAGACGAUGCAGGCGCAUGUGUGCCACUGACUGAAACGAUAAGAGUGCCAGCUGCUGAGAUGCUGUUUGUUGAGAGCUCGUCUGUUAAGGCUCCACUAUUUGGUUCGGAAUCGCUGUUGGAGCUCGACGCGCGAUCAGUGGCUGAAGGUGCACCGCUGUCGAAUGCCGAUGUUUUGGACAUUAGGCCUGAAUUAAUUGCGCUCUGCGAAUCCAAUACUUCCUCCAAUGCCGUCGCGGUCGCGCUGUUGGUUAUUGAAGCACUUACUGCAGUUGUUAGAUCGCUAGCUCGAGAAGCUCCAGCUGAGGCGUCAGUCUCUGUUGUCCCUGUCUGGGCCACACUUGAAAGACCACCCAUAGCAGACGGUUGUUCUAUACCAGUUCCCCUGCCUGUCCCUCCUGCCAAUGAUUGUGACAAUUCUUCCGUCCCAAAGGCGGAUGCUGAAAGUCCGACUGGCUCGUUAUUGCACUCUCAGACGCAAUAUUCGCGGCACUGCCAGAAGCUGUCUCUGAAGCCCCUUCCUGUCUCGGAAAGAUCUUGCUUCUAUAAAUGUCCUUGACGAUUGCACGUCUUCCAAUCCCAGCUCCGGUCGACUUACGGCGAGGGGGUAGACAACAGUGCGGCGAGUCGGCAAUGAGACGCUUAAUCAGGUGGCUGUGCUCUUGUCCAGUCUGCCUACGAGUCAUUUGGACAGAAACGGCCGGCGCUCCAGGAAUGAAAGAGGUGGCAGCCAAGAAGAGAAGGAUAUGUAAAAGCCGGACGGGUAAUAUAGGACACAUUAUGUGUACUUUUUAUUUGGAGUCCAAACUCGUAAGAAUGAAAAGAGGGCUGUUGACGAAAGAGCGAAAGCCAGUCAAAUGUGGGGGAUAGUAGAAGAGGCUGGUUUCUGAACUUAUUAUUAUGAUAAGAAGCAGACGAGGUUGGAUAUUAGGAAAGAAGCUGCUGUCGAGGAGGCAGCAAACAUAUCUGAAGUCUGCCGAGAAAUGAUUGCUAUUCAUACAUAAGCGUAGAGUAACUCCUAAAUUAGAGCUCCCCGACAAAAUAUUACCUUUCUUUCGCGUCAUUGGAACGGGGGAAUGUCAAAGGAUAUAUGCGAGGCAGAACUAUAAUACUACGAUGACGAUGGGAAGGAAAUAAGGUAACAAAAACAAAGGAUAGGUUACUGUGCAUGGUAUACGCAUCACUUGGCUUUUAUUUGUUUCGGCAUUUGCCCGCUGGUAUGCUUUCAAGUUUCGGCAUGACCUGAGGAUCGGUUUGGAGGACGCGAACGAUGAUUUGGAUGGCGGCGCCGAGACUGACGGAGGCCACGAUUCGAUACCAUGCCCUUUCCUUGGCCGUUAACAUUCCUGCUCUUUGCAGUAUUGCUCUUCGCAUCACCCUAGCGGAGACAACUUUUAAGCUCAAAAGACAAUCAGGUUUUUCAAGACCUUGUCAAAGUACCUACUGUCCGUCUCUAUUUGGGAGGCGGAAGCGAGGACGACGAAAUGGAAGAAUGGUCCAAUCAAUGAGCAAAUAUAGCUAUAUGUUUGCUCCUUGUUAGUUGAUAUGUAACUUCCUUCCUCACGCCUGUGAAAAUAGUGCGUGUGUCAUGAGG